This 250-nucleotide ribosomal RNA is filed under the name uncultured bacterium. RNAcentral's name for it is "partial 16S ribosomal RNA". It matches the Rfam family "Bacterial small subunit ribosomal RNA", at positions 524 to 776 of the family's 1533-position model. The record is from RNAcentral.
UACGUAGGGUGCAAGCGUUGUCCGGAAUUAUUGGGCGUAAAGAGCUCGUAGGUGGCCUGUCGCGUCGGCUGUGAAACUCGGGCUCAACUCCGAGCUUGCAGUCGAUACGGGCAGGCUAGAGUUCGGCAGGGGAGACUGGAAUUCCUGGUGUAGCGGUGAAAUGCGCAGAUAUCAGGAGGAACACCGGUGGCGAAGGCGGGUCUCUGGGCCGAUACUGACACUGAGGAGCGAAAGCGUGGGAGCGAACAGG